This 89-nucleotide non-coding RNA is filed under the name Thauera sp. 27. RNAcentral describes it as "Glycine riboswitch aptamer". It matches the Rfam family "Glycine riboswitch aptamer". From Rfam's summary of the family: This family represents the bacterial glycine riboswitch. Glycine riboswitches usually consist of two metabolite-binding aptamers domains with similar structures in tandem. The aptamers cooperatively bind glycine to regulate the expression of downstream genes. Lineage: Bacteria; Pseudomonadati; Pseudomonadota; Betaproteobacteria; Rhodocyclales; Zoogloeaceae. The record is from Rfam by way of RNAcentral. RNAcentral also lists the same sequence under 1 other name.
GCGCGUCACGCGGGAGAGAACUCCCGUAUGGAGUCGCCGAAGGCGCAACCCCCCGGAACCGCUCAGGCACAACGGACCGCGUGCGAAUC